AAGUCGUAACAAGGUUUCCGUAGGUGAACCUGCGGAAGGAUCAUUAGAAUAUUCAGGAAUUUAUUUUCCUAAUAAUACUUUAUUCAAAAAUUUUCAAUCUACAAAUUUUUUUUUUUUUUUAAGAUAUUAAAGAUAACUUUCAACAACGGAUCUCUUGGCUCUU
This 163-nucleotide unclassified non-coding RNA is filed under the name Acaulospora sp. RNAcentral's name for it is "partial contains small subunit ribosomal RNA, internal transcribed spacer 1, and 5.8S ribosomal RNA". The stretch from base 1 to 46 matches the Rfam family "Eukaryotic small subunit ribosomal RNA", at positions 1786 to 1831 of the family's 1831-position model. The record is from RNAcentral. Lineage: Eukaryota; Fungi; Glomeromycota; Glomeromycetes; Diversisporales; Acaulosporaceae.